ACGCUAGCUACAGGCUUAACACAUGCAAGUCGAGGGGAAACGGCAUUGAGUGCUUGCACUCUUUGGACGUCGACCGGCGCACGGGUGAGUAACGCGUAUCCAACCUUCCCAUUACUGUGGGAUAACCUGCCGAAAGGCAGACUAAUACCGCAUAGUCUUCGAUGACGGCAUCAGAUUUGAAGUAAAGAUUUAUCGGUAAUGGAUGGGGAUGCGUCUGAUUAGCUUGUUGGCGGGGUAACGGCCCACCAAGGCGACGAUCAGUAGGGGUUCUGAGAGGAAGGUCCCCCACAUUGGAACUGAGACACGGUCCAAACUCCUACGGGAGGCAGCAGUGAGGAAUAUUGGUCAAUGGACGGAAGUCUGAACCAGCCAAGUAGCGUGCAGGAUGACGGCCCUAUGGGUUGUAAACUGCUUUUGUAUGGGGAUAAAGUUAGGGACGUGUCCCUAUUUGCAGGUACCAUACGAAUAAGGACCGGCUAAUUCCGUGCCAGCAGCCGCGGUAAUACGGAAGGUCCAGGCGUUAUCCGGAUUUAUUGGGUUUAAAGGGAGCGUAGGCUGGAGAUUAAGUGUGUUGUGAAAUGUAGACGCUCAACGUCUGAAUUGCAGCGCAUACUGGUUUCCUUGAGUACGCACAACGUUGGCGGAAUUCGUCGUGUAGCGGUGAAAUGCUUAGAUAUGACGAAGAACUCCGAUUGCGAAGGCAGCUGACGGGAGCGCAACUGACGCUUAAGCUCGAAGGUGCGGGUAUCAAACAGGAUUAGAUACCCUGGUAGUCCGCACAGUAAACGAUGGAUGCCCGCUGUUGGUACCUGGUAUCAGCGGCUAAGCGAAAGCAUUAAGCAUCCCACCUGGGGAGUACGCCGGCAACGGUGAAACUCAAAGGAAUUGACGGGGGCCCGCACAAGCGGAG
RNAcentral lists this ribosomal RNA (910 nucleotides) under uncultured bacterium. Its description in RNAcentral is "bacterial SSU rRNA". It matches the Rfam family "Bacterial small subunit ribosomal RNA", at positions 33 to 934 of the family's 1533-position model. The record is from RNAcentral.